GUGCACCAGGCGCGAAACUUUACAAUGUGCGAAAGCACGAUAAGGGAACUCUGAGUGCCUCCUAAGGAGGCUGUUCUGAUGUCUAAAAGCAACAGAAGUAAGGGCUGGGUAAGACCGGUGCCAGCCGCCGCGGUAACACCGGCAGCCCAAGUGGUAGCCACGUUUAUUGGGUCUAAAGCGUUCGUAGCCGGCCAGGUAAGUUCCUUGGUAAAUUUAGCCGCUUAACGGUUAAGCUUUCAGGGAAUACUGCUUGGCUUGGGACUGGGAGAGGUCAGAGGUACGUCCGGGGGUAGGGGUGAAAUCUAUUAAUCCCGUGGGGGACCACCGGUAGCGAAGGCGUCUGACCAGACCAGGUCCGACGGUGAGGGACGAAGGCUAGGGGCGCGAACCGGAUUAGAUACACGCGUAGU
RNAcentral lists this ribosomal RNA (410 nucleotides) under uncultured microorganism. RNAcentral describes it as "bacterial SSU rRNA". It matches the Rfam family "Archaeal small subunit ribosomal RNA", at positions 330 to 745 of the family's 1478-position model. The record is from RNAcentral.